Rhinopithecus roxellana (golden snub-nosed monkey) is the source of this 859-nucleotide long non-coding RNA. RefSeq lists it as uncharacterized. The transcript is spliced from 3 exons. NCBI's taxonomy places the organism in Eukaryota, Metazoa, Chordata, Mammalia, Primates, Cercopithecidae. The record is from RefSeq and is a predicted model, not a curated record.
CUCAGCUGGCUGGCUAGUGCCGGACCCGCUGUCGGGAGAGGCAGCCAGGACUCCAGGGCUGCCCCGCACCCCACCUCGUGCCGGGCACCGCCAUGUUCCCCUCCUACACGCUGCGCCACGCUGCUGGCCCGCCCUCCCUCCCCUCCUUUGAGACUCCUUUCCCCUUCUCUCAGGUCUCUCACCUCUCCCUGCCCUUUAUUCUCCCCUCACAGCCCUCCCAGACACCCAGCAAGGAGCAAAAUGGCCAGGGCAGCACCCUCUGUUUCCGGAGCAGCUGCAGCAAGGGGUGGACGACCUGGGGAACCAGGGACCCCAGACCCGCCUGGAGCCCUGUGGGUGGCCACAGCCCCAGGAGGGCUGGAUCCGGAGGACUGGCCAGCAGGAUCGCUCAGGAUGGAAGUCUUCUACUCAAGAGCCCCAGGCCCAGAGUCCCCAGGAGGGAGCAGCCGGCAGCACCGUUUCCGCCGUGGAGAUGGGGCGUCCUGGCUUGAGUUCACUCCUUUCCAGGUGGAGCUGACGCCUUGAGACCAAGGCCAGGCCCCCCAGGCCCCAAGGCUCUGAGGGUGUCACUCUCUUGCCCAGGCUGGAGUGCAGUGGUGCGAUCAUGGCUUGCUGCAGCCUCAACACCCUGGGCUCGCACGAUCCUCUCGCCUCAGCCUCCCACAGAACUGGGAAUGCAGGUGCCUGCCGCUGCACCCGACUGCUUUUUGGUAGAGAUGGGGUCUCACUGUGUUGCUCAGGCUGAUCUCCAGCUUCUGGACUCAAGCUAUCUGCCCACGUUGGCCUCCCAAAAUACUGAGAUUACAGGUGUGAGCCACCUCACCUGGCCCAAAAUAAAAUCAUUUAAAAAGGAAAAAAA